CCAUCCAAAACCCUAACUCUCACAGAUCUCAACUUAUUUCUAUCAUACAAAAAUCAAGGGAUUUAUAGAUUGGCAUGGUGGAGAGAUAAAGAUCAAGUUUGAAUCAAAUUUGAACUUAGAUAAGAGUUCGAUUUUAGGUUAAAUCCAAAUCCAAUUUGAAUUCAACUCAAAUCAGAAAUUAUCCUAUCUUUUGGGAAAUAUAGAGAGGGUGAUGAAACUCAUUUUUCCAUGGAAAAACCUCAUGCUAAUUUGAUAUUAGCAAUGAGCAAUAUGGGGCAGACUAGGGUGGUUGGCAGU
RNAcentral lists this long non-coding RNA (297 nucleotides) under Elaeis guineensis (African oil palm). RNAcentral's name for it is "long non-coding RNA (EGUI_LNC043805)". The record is from RNAcentral. Lineage: Eukaryota; Viridiplantae; Streptophyta; Magnoliopsida; Arecales; Arecaceae.